Molecule: non-coding RNA, 2215 nt
Organism: Solanum lycopersicum (tomato)
Lineage: Eukaryota; Viridiplantae; Streptophyta; Magnoliopsida; Solanales; Solanaceae
Source: RefSeq, a predicted model, not a curated record
AAUAAAAUAUUAACAAAAAAAAUUCCUCACGCGUUACUCUUUCUCUCACACUUAUCUCGCUCUUUGUUCUUUCCUAUCUCCAGAAAGCUAGCGUAGCUUUACACUUUCUCUCUCACUUUUCUCGCUCUUCUGUCUUUCCUAGCUCCAUAACUGAAGACCUAAGUUAAAGACCUGAAGAACUGAUCUCCAUAACUCGAAUUUCAUCAAGUCAGAUUUCUGAAAGAGAUGAAGAGCUGAAGAUACAGAGGUGGGGAUGGAAAAAAUGAAAAGUGGAAGCUGAAGAACUAAAGUGCUGAGAUUUUGUGAAGAUUUGUUUACUAGAGGAAUUGAUAUUCAAGCAGUUAACGUUGUUAUCAAUUUUGAUUUCCCUAAGAACUUAGAAACGUAUUUGCACAAGGUUGGAUGAUCAUGGAGAUUUGUGAAGCUUGGUUUAGCUGUUAGCCUGGUUAUUUUUGAGGAUCACUUCACUUUGUGAUACUAGAUGGAUCAAUCAUAGAGAAUGGGAUAUCAAGUUGAAUGUUUAAGAUGAUAUGGAUUGCUCACGUGAUGAUAUUGCUGGAUUGUUGAAUGAUCAAUUUAGAGAUGUUGCACAGGCAGAAGGAGCUUAUAAUGGUCCAAAUGAAGAAGCAAAGAAAUACUAUAACUUCGUUGUAGAGGCAAGCCAUGAAUUAUAUCCUGGUUUUACAGUAUUCUCUGAAUUGUCAUUCACACUUCGUUCAUAUUUGUUGAAGUUUCUACACACAUGGAGCAAUGAAUCAUUCACUUCUCUUUUAGAUUAAUUAAAAGAGGUGAUGCCCGAGUUGAACAUUCCUCCCUCUUACAAUAAAACCAAGUCUACGGUUAACAAUCUUGUCCUUGAUUAUGAUAAAAUUGAUGCAUGUCCAAAUGAUUGCAUGUUAUUUAAGAAUGAUCAUAAGGAUGAUGAAUUUUGUCAUACUUGCGGAGCUUUAUGAUAAAUUAAAAAUUCUGAAGUUGAUGGUGAGGUUGAGUCUUAAAAAUCACAUCGAGUUUCAGCAAAAACUUUGAGACACUUUCCAUUAAUUCCUACAAUCAAAAGGUUAUUUAUGUGCUCAAAGACGACAAACUCUUUGAGGUUGUAUGACGAGGAGCAUUCAAAAUAUGGAGAGUUAAGGAAUCCCGCUGAUGGUCAAGAUGGAUCAUUUUAUAAGUUGCAUUCAGAUUUCGCACUAGAUUCUCACAAUGUGAGACUUGGAUUAGCAAGUGAUGGGUUCAAUCCAUUACGAACCAUGAGUAUAUGUCAUAGCACAUGGAAAGUUAUGUUGAUGAUGUAUAAUCUGCUGCCUUGAAUGUGCAUAAAAUCUGAAUACUCUAUACUUUCUUUGCUUAUACGUGGGCCACGACCACCUGGAAAUGACAUUGAUGUUUACUUACAGCAAUUGAUAGAUGAGUUAAAAUUGUUGUGGAAUUCUAGGGUUGAAACAUAUGAUGCUUCAAGAAAUCAAACUUUUUAAAUGCGAGCAGCUAUUAUGUGGACAAUCAAUGACUUUCCUUCAUAUGCUAUGUUAUCUGGAUGAAGUACAAAAGGAAAGUUUGCUUGCCCUUGUUUUAAUUAUAACACUAAUUCUCACUAUCUUAAGCAUAGUCGGAAAAUGUGUUACAUGGAUCCGUGUUUUUCUACCCACGGAUCAUCCAUGGAGAUGUAACAAAAAAUCUUUCAAUGGAAAAACUGAAUUCAUGCCUCCUCCACCUUUAUUAAAGGAAACUGAUGUGCUUCAUAACUUACGGUUUUGAAAAUGUGUAUGGAAAGAAGAGAAAGAGAUCAAAUUAUGGCCCAUGGAAAAAAAGAGAGCAUAUGCAAGAGAUUAAUAAUCAUCUGCGAAGAUCUAAAUGGAGCAAGGCUAAGGAUCAUUGUCAAAACUUCUCUCAAUGGUUUGAAACCAGUGUUUUGCAAGAGGAUGUGCUUUGUUUGAUAAAACAACUGUCUAGAGAACCAAAUGUUGUUGCUAAAAGAUACUCUAGGUAACUCAUGAAUGGAUAUAGUUUCCAUAUUAGGCAGCGUGAUACAAGACGCAAAACACAAAGUAAUGGUAUUACAUUUGUUGUCUGAAUUACGAGCUUUGCAAGCUUAAAGGAUAAGAACCCGACUGCUGCAUAUUUGACUUAUUCUGGUAGAAUAGUUGACAUAGUUAUGUUAGGCUAUUAUUGUAAUUUUAAGGUUGUUCUUUUUAAUUGUGAUUAAUAUGUGGUUAAGAAA